Long non-coding RNA from Esox lucius (northern pike), 1292 nucleotides. The record is from Ensembl. NCBI's taxonomy places the organism in Eukaryota, Metazoa, Chordata, Actinopteri, Esociformes, Esocidae.
GACAGACAACAGCAUACAAACUUUUUAGCUAUGUGCAAUCUGUGGCUUCUGCGUAAAACACUUCGUUAUGCUGUCGCCACUUCUCAACAGUCUUCUAACCAUACAAACCCUCUGUACCACAUUUAUUGCUCUCUGCCACUGUGUCAAUCCGACUGGAGAGAGGGCGACAUAUUCACCUGCAUUGUCAACCGCUUAGUCAAUGACACCAACCUGAGCGAGGAAAUCAGAAUAGACUGCAGUGAAAUAGAAACCUGCCGUUGGAACCCCACUCCUUUGGUCAUCAUCUGUGUGAGCUCACUCAUUGGGGUAGCAGCCAUCACAGCAGUAACCCUAACCAUUUAUAAAUGUAAGUCUUAUAUUUUAGGGUGAUUUUUCUUUGGACAAUACAUUCACAAUAUGGCUGUUUUGUUCACACAUAUAUUUCACCAAAUUAAGUUCUGUAGUCACGUUUGAAUCUUUUAGGCAACUCUCAAGUCAAUCUGACCUUGUAACCAUUUCAAUUUCAAAUGAAUUGUAGGUAAUGUGAUUUGUUCUUUGAAUUCCCUGUGAUCUGUAUCAACCCAAAUUACUGUGUUUUUAUUUAAGUCACCUGUUUUGUGCACCCUGAAGAAGGCAUGUGAGACAACUCAUUUGUGCUUUUUAUUGUCAUGAUAUUACAUUAAAGGCUUUUUUAUCAUAAUCGUAUCGUAUGGUUAGAAGGUUAUGUCUAAAGAUUCAAUUGUCAUCUAAUUAUCUAACCUACUGUCCACUGACCACCUCUCCUACUACACCUGAUGCCAAAGCAGCACUCUUCCUUCUCUGCACUCUAUAUGACCAUAUAACAUGUUGGUUUCCUUAACCUCUCUUAGACAGAAUAUAUAAACAUAAAUAGUGCCAUAAUGUUAUGGAAAUUCUUGAACUAAUGUACAUUUGAGAAAUGUCUGCUUUACUAUUACCUGGUGUUUUUCUGACAUGUCUGCAGUGGAUCAUUAUGACCUCUGACCAUCUGUUAACCUGCCCAAACCAAUAAGAGUAUCUGUCCAUUGUUCUUCAGGAAUGUGGUUGACUGUCUGUACGAUGUUCCCUACCCCCGUGACAAUAAACACCUGGGGCAGGAAGGAUAAGGUGGGGGGGACAGUCGGUCCUUUGGGUAAAACCUAUGUGACAUAAGAGAGCAGGGCAGUAUCUUACCAGAGCUCUUGUCAAUUGUAAUAAAUACUUUGACUGGACUGUGUUUCCUCGGAGAUUCCUCACAGGCCUGUUAUGAUGUGUCCUAAACCUCUCUCUAUUUGCAAAUAAACUUAAUCGUGCAA